RNAcentral lists this ribosomal RNA (438 nucleotides) under Triticum aestivum (bread wheat). RNAcentral describes it as "partial small subunit ribosomal RNA". The record is from RNAcentral. Lineage: Eukaryota; Viridiplantae; Streptophyta; Magnoliopsida; Poales; Poaceae.
AUGUGUCGACCUAGUGGCAUCAAUAUCCUCGAUGACAAGUUCCACCUAGGAGAUUCGGGCUAUGCAUGUCAACCAUAUGCCGUUCCACCCUUUAGGAAAACCAGGUACUAUCUGAACGCGUUCUCUUGUAGGAACUAUCCUAGGCCUGCAUAAGAAUUGUUCAAUCUCAAAUACUCUAGCCUUAGAGUUACGGUUGAGAGGGCAUUUGGAACUCUGAAGAACAUAUUUAAGAUCCUGGAUCAAAAGUCAUUGCACCAUUACCCCACCCAGGUUAAGCUUUGUCUUGCAUGUUGUAUCCUUCAUAACUGGAUUCUACAAUGGGGUUCUGAUGACCUUGUGCCGGAAGAGGAAGAGGUGACACUUGAUGAUGUUGUUAACUCUGGUCAUGGUGUGGAGGCAUUUGACAAUGAUGCCUAGAAGAACAAAAGAAUGGAGUAG